UACGGAGGGUGCAAGCGUUAUCCGGAUUCAUUGGGCGUAAAGAGCUCGUAGGCGGCUCAGUAAGUCGGGUGUGAAACCCUCAGGCUCAACCUGGGGACGCCACUCGAUACUGCUGUGGCUAGAGUCCAGUAGAGGAGUGUGGAAUUCCCGGUGUAGCGGCGAAAUGCGCAGAUAUCGGGAGGAACACCGGUGGCGAAGGCGGGUCUCUGGGCCGGUACUGACGCUGAGACGCGAAAGCGUGGGGAGCGAACAGG
Molecule: ribosomal RNA, 254 nt
Filed under: uncultured bacterium
Lineage: Bacteria
Description: partial 16S ribosomal RNA
Rfam family: Bacterial small subunit ribosomal RNA
Source: RNAcentral